UACGGAGGGUGCAAGCGUUAUCCGGAUUUACUGGGUUUAAAGGGUGCGUAGGUGGGUAGGUAAGUCAGUGGUGAAAUCUUCGAGCUUAACUCGGAAACUGCCAUUGAUACUAUUUAUCUUGAAUACUCUGGAGGUAAGCGGAAUAUGUCAUGUAGCGGUGAAAUGCUUAGAUAUGACAUAGAACACCAAUUGCGAAGGCAGCUGGCUACACAAAUAUUGACACUGAGGCACGAAAGCGUGGGGAUCAAACAGG
Molecule: ribosomal RNA, 253 nt
Filed under: uncultured bacterium
Lineage: Bacteria
Description: partial 16S ribosomal RNA
Rfam family: Bacterial small subunit ribosomal RNA
Source: RNAcentral